ACGCUCGACACCUAGGAGGCAGCAGUGGGGAAUAUUGCACAAUGGGGGAAACCCUGAUGCAGCGACGCCGCGUGGAGGAAGAAGGUCUUCGGAUUGUAAACUCCUGUUGUUGGGGAAAAAGAGGAUGGUACCCAACAAGGAAGUGACGGCUAACUACGUGCANNCGCGAGUAUGNGCGGCGGCGUGAGAG
Molecule: ribosomal RNA, 190 nt
Filed under: uncultured bacterium
Lineage: Bacteria
Description: partial 16S ribosomal RNA
Rfam family: Bacterial small subunit ribosomal RNA
Source: RNAcentral